GAUCCUGGCUCAGGACGAACGCUGGCGGCGUGCUUAACACAUGCAAGUCGAACGGAAAGGCCCUGCUUUUGUGGGGUGCUCGAGUGGCGAACGGGUGAGUAACACGUGAGUAACCUGCCCUUGACUUUGGGAUAACUUCAGGAAACUGGGGCUAAUACCGGAUAGGAGCUCCUGCUGCAUGGUGGGGGUUGGAAAGUUUCGGCGGUUGGGGAUGGACUCGCGGCUUAUCAGCUUGUUGGUGGGUAGUGGCUUACCGAAGG
This 260-nucleotide ribosomal RNA is filed under the name uncultured bacterium. RNAcentral's name for it is "partial 16S ribosomal RNA". It matches the Rfam family "Bacterial small subunit ribosomal RNA", at positions 15 to 273 of the family's 1533-position model. The record is from RNAcentral.